CCAGACGGCUGGAUGACUGCUCCCGGGGUUCCUCGGGGGAGGAAAGUCCGGGCUCCACGGAAACACGGUGCCGGGUAACGCCCGGCGGAGGCGACUCCAGGGAUAGUGCCGCAGAAAACAAACCGCCGGCGCGAACGCUCCGGCAAGGGUGAAACGGUGCGGUAAGAGCGCACCGCGUCUUCGGCGACGGAGACGGCACGGUAAACCCCACCGGGAGCAAGACCGAAUAGGGACGGCGUGGCCCGUGACCGGGCCGAUGGUGUUUCCGCCUCCGUCCGGGCCGGUCGCGUGAGGCACGCGGUAACGCAUGCCCCAGAUGAAUGGUCAUCCUUGACAGAACCCGGCUUACAGGCUGUCUGGCGCC
RNAcentral lists this RNase P RNA (364 nucleotides) under Rhodospirillales bacterium. RNAcentral's name for it is "RNase P RNA component class A". It matches the Rfam family "Bacterial RNase P class A". Rfam says of the family: Ribonuclease P (RNase P) is a ubiquitous endoribonuclease, found in archaea, bacteria and eukarya as well as chloroplasts and mitochondria. Its best characterised activity is the generation of mature 5'-ends of tRNAs by cleaving the 5'-leader elements of precursor-tRNAs. Lineage: Bacteria; Pseudomonadati; Pseudomonadota; Alphaproteobacteria; Rhodospirillales. The record is from RNAcentral.